AGCUUUGUGCAGUGGCAGUAUCGUAGUCAGUGAAGUUUAUCCGAGGCGCGAUUAUUGCUAAGUAUGUUGUUUUCUCAAAAAAAAAAAUACUAAAUAUCAUUACCAUAG
This 108-nucleotide small nuclear RNA is filed under the name Callithrix jacchus (white-tufted-ear marmoset). Its description in RNAcentral is "U4 spliceosomal RNA (ENSCJAG00000061026.2)". The stretch from base 1 to 63 matches the Rfam family "U4 spliceosomal RNA". From Rfam's summary of the family: U4 small nuclear RNA (U4 snRNA) is a component of the major U2-dependent spliceosome. The structure of U4 snRNA from yeast and human has been reported. Lineage: Eukaryota; Metazoa; Chordata; Mammalia; Primates; Cebidae. The record is from RNAcentral.